RNAcentral lists this unclassified non-coding RNA (235 nucleotides) under Melitaea cinxia (Glanville fritillary). RNAcentral's name for it is "misc RNA ENSMCXG00005021134.1". The record is from RNAcentral. Lineage: Eukaryota; Metazoa; Arthropoda; Insecta; Lepidoptera; Nymphalidae.
CCUUACUUUAGGCUUGAUUAUGUACAGAUGUCAGCUUUGAUAGCGGCUUAAAUAUUACUCAAAGUCAUAAUGAAACAAGGUACAUAUCAAAAUGGUUGAUAUAUAACUAAUCAAAGGAAGAUGCAACAUUUACAUUAACAAAAAUAUGUAACUCUCUUUAAUGAUAAAUAAAUUAACACCUCACAUUCGACAGCCCCUAUUACGAUAAAAUCACAUGUCCGUGUAAAUCCACACA